UGAAAAUUUCCAUCAGAGAAACAUUUUUUUCUUCUCUUCCUUCAAACGCCUGUGCCACUGUUGGAUCGAGAAGAGUUCAGGUGAAAAACCCAACUCGUGAACCCUAACCUAGGUUUCGUAAUCAACCAGUGAGAGAAAAAGGGGUGAUGAAGUUGAUACUCUUGUAUUAGUAAUCUCAGUAGCAACUUGAGGAAGGGGAUUUGGAUGUUCUUGACUGAAACUUAAGGUUGUAUUGUUUGACUAGGUGUUUCUGAGUUCAGUUGGCGGAUUGUGAAGAUUGAGGUUUGGGUAACGGUUUGAGGUAGCUCUGAUGUAAGUGGUUUUGAUUCGGCCGAAGAGGAAAUUGACGUUUGGGUCGAUUAAGUGGACUUAACUUUUGCUCGUGUGAGAUUGUUGCUGGUCUUUGUGUUUUUUUUUUUCUCUUGCAGUCUUGUAACUUUCUAAAGGUGCUUUCUUUUUUGAGUUUUUUGUAUGUAAGCGAGUCUCUAUCUCUUGAAUGUGUAUAUUGUGUAUAAUGUAAAUUACAAACAACACACUGUAAAUUAGAUGGUUAUGUAUAAUAUGAAAAGUCUAGUUUUGGUC
Molecule: long non-coding RNA, 582 nt
Organism: Papaver somniferum (opium poppy)
Lineage: Eukaryota; Viridiplantae; Streptophyta; Magnoliopsida; Ranunculales; Papaveraceae
Exons: 3
Source: RefSeq, a predicted model, not a curated record